This 425-nucleotide ribosomal RNA is filed under the name uncultured bacterium. RNAcentral's name for it is "partial 16S ribosomal RNA". It matches the Rfam family "Bacterial small subunit ribosomal RNA", at positions 354 to 796 of the family's 1533-position model. The record is from RNAcentral.
GUGGGGAAUCAUGCGCAAUGGGCGAAAGCCUGACGCAGCCAUGCCGCGUGAAUGAUGAAGGUCUUAGGAUUGUAAAAUUCUUUCACCGGGGACGAUAAUGACGGUACCCGGAGAAGAAGCUCCGGCUAACUUCGUGCCAGCAGACGCGGUAAUACGAAGGGGGCUAGCGUUGCUCGGAAUUACUGGGCGUAAAGGGCGCGUAGGCGGACAGCUUAGUCAGAGGUGAAAGCCCAGGGCUCAACCUUGGAAUUGCCUUUGAUACUGGCUGGCUGGAGUUUGGGAGAGGUGAGUGGAACUCCGAGUGUAGAGGUGAAAUUCGUAGAUAUUCGGAAGAACACCAGUGGCGAAGGCGACUCACUGGCCCAAUACUGACGCUGAGGCGCGAAAGCGUGGGGAGCAAACAGGAUUAGAUACCCUUGUAGUCC